AACUGCUACAUCUAAUUAUAAAUAAGAACUGAAAUUGAAAGACUUUUCAGAUCGGUUUUAUCGUUGGUACUGUGAUGGUGCAAAGCUUGUUCCGAGUCGCUUCAAGAGUUGCAACUUUGAACACCUUCUUGAGACAUGCUGAACGGCGUGUCUACUUAAAUACCUUUCAUAAGGCGCGAUCGAAUUCAACCGUCGCAUGGCCGCCACCGAAAUUACUCAAAAAUUAUGCCAAAUUUCAAAUUGAAGAUGGAACGCCCGUUUAUCUUAAAGGUGGUGCGACAGAUCGGUUACUUUUCGGAGCGACGGUUACGUUGAUCGCGUUGGGAAUGUUCGACGGUUUUUAUACCCUGUUAACUAUGGCUUUCCCCAAAAAGAAGAAUUAAAUUUAUAACACCAAUCAAAAAGAAAUUAAGUCGAAAAGAACACAAGAAGAUGUAAAAUUAUGAUCAAGAUCUAAAAACUAAUUAAUUAUUAUUAUGUAAUUAGAUUAAGAUUAUGUAACUUUGUAAAUUUAAGAUGAAAAUGUUGCAAAAAUUUGACAAAUUAAGGCACGGUUUUAUUAUCUGAAGUGCGAUGAUUGCAAAAAAAAAAGUAUAAAAAUUAAUUUUAUGGAAGGAAAAUUUAAAAAACAAAAAAUAAACAAAAAAAAUUGUAAAUGUGAACCGUAUCGUUUUUUGGACGGACUAUUUUAAUAAUAUUAGGUUGUAACUAACGAUAAUUUGUAAUGUAAGGAAUAAAUAAUGGUAACGGAAAA
This is a non-coding RNA of Onthophagus taurus, 754 nucleotides long. The record is from RefSeq and is a predicted model, not a curated record. Lineage: Eukaryota; Metazoa; Arthropoda; Insecta; Coleoptera; Scarabaeidae.